Molecule: ribosomal RNA, 516 nt
Filed under: melanized limestone ascomycete CR-2004
Lineage: Eukaryota; Fungi; Ascomycota
Description: SSU rRNA
Rfam family: Eukaryotic small subunit ribosomal RNA
Source: RNAcentral
UCAAAGAUUAAGCCAUGCAUGUCUAAGUAUAAGCAACUAUACGGUGAAACUGCGAAUGGCUCAUUAAAUCAGUUAUCGUUUAUUUGAUAGUACCCUACUACAUGGAUAACCGUGGUAAUUCUAGAGCUAAUACAUGCUAAAAACCCCGACUUCGGAAGGGGUGUAUUUAUUAGAUAAAAAACCAAUGCCCUUCGGGGCUCCUUGGUGAAUCAUAAUAACUCAACGAAUCGCAUGGCCUUGCGCCGGCGAUGGUUCAUUCAAAUUUCUGCCCUAUCAACUUUCGAUGGUAGGAUAGUGGCCUACCAUGGUUUCAACGGGUAACGGGGAAUUAGGGUUCGACUCCGGAGAGGGAGCCUGAGAAACGGCUACCACAUCCAAGGAAGGCAGCAGGCGCGCAAAUUACCCAAUCCCGACACGGGGAGGUAGUGACAAUAAAUACUGAUCCAGGGCUCUUUCGGGUCUUGGAAUUGGAAUGAGUACAAUUUAAAUCCCUUAACGAGGAACAAUUGGAGGGCA